AGUACUUUUUUUAGCUUCAUAUUAUGGAAAAUACGAACUCAUUUUACUACGUAAAGUAUUUUACUAAGUAGUGUACAACUUUCAAGAAGCGCGGGAAGGGAACGCGACAUGGAUGAGCGAAAGAUUAUUGUCUUCUUCCUCCUCGUCUCUUUCAAUUUGCGGUCGCAGGGGCACGCGGAUUGUCCUUGUGCGUAGGAGAUCUCACGUCUCCUCCAAGGACGAUUGGAUGAAUUGAAAUCGUCCAUUUCCCUCUUCCAUUUUUGGAAUGGUCUCAGAGCUUCAGAAAAGGUGUCUACUCCGAAAGGGUGAAAGAUUUUGAAAUUCAAAAUUCAUAGUUCAAGAGUGAUUCGGAUUUCAUCUUCCCUCGCAUUUUUCCCUAAACCGGAAUUCUUUCCCCUAUAUAUUAGAUUUUUCUGUUCACUGAAUGGGGGACGGAAGAGAAAUAUUGGAGAGUAGUUGGAUAAAGGUAAAAGUUCUAGUUUUGGCAAGAGCCUAUAGAAAAGAGAUAAGAAUUGUUGAGUUACACCAUUCGUAUAAGGAAACAACCAAAUAUAUACUUUCUUCCCAUAAGCGGCAAGUUACAGUUAGCCGUCGAAUCGUCCCAAGCUCGCCCAGUCCAGUUUCGUUGCACCUCGAAAGCUAAUGCCCAUUUAGCUUCAAGCAUAUUUAUUUCAUCGUGUUGCUUGUUUCAUUUUCGAUUACAUGAAGUCGUCUAUCGGUUAUUAUUUUGAGAAUAUUUAGGCUUGACGUCGGCUUCGGUUUGAGUUGGAUCGUCUUCAAUUCCGGAGUCUCUACAAAUUUAUCAAUUGACUGAUGGCAUAAUGAAUCUUAGUUUAUAUACUCAGUUUGAAUGAAUACUAUGUUUGUGUUUUCUUUCCGUUGGAUGUGUCUUCGUGGAUGGCAAUGUAUACAUAGUGAGAUUCAAAUUAAGAAAAUAUAUAUCUAAAGUAUGGUUCCUACAUUUACAUCUGGACAGCAAGCUCAUGUAUUGUGUUUUAGUAGUAACUUAGCAUGGUUGGACCUUUAACAUA
Solanum pennellii is the source of this 1031-nucleotide long non-coding RNA. RefSeq lists it as uncharacterized. The transcript is spliced from 2 exons. The record is from RefSeq and is a predicted model, not a curated record. NCBI's taxonomy places the organism in Eukaryota, Viridiplantae, Streptophyta, Magnoliopsida, Solanales, Solanaceae.